AUGAAUGAUGACGUGUCCAUUUUUCUUUCUUGCAGACUAAUGAGUUGGUGAUGAGUUUAGAGGACGAUGAAAAGCUCAUUCUGCAAAAUGAACAAACCCUACGAGCUGCUGGCAUUGCAAAUGAAACAGAAGUGGCCUUCUUCAGGAAAGAAGACUACGGUCUCUUCAAAGCAAAUCCCCAAACUGCUUGGUAACCAGUACUUUGUUUGCUGUUUACUUGAAUAACUACAGCAGAGGGGCGUUCUAAUGGAACAGAGGUCAAUGGGAAAUCCAGAAUGGAACCAUCAUGUUUUAAUUUGGGGGUUGUUCUUAAAAUAUAAUUUUCAACCACCCUGGCAUGCCCUUUUAUUUGAAAUGUUUUAUUUUUCUUCUCAUGGUGUCCAUGGACAUUAGUUUCUGAUAUUGUUUAUAAAUGUGCUGAAUAAACUUCUCUGACAGAUGA
Long non-coding RNA from Notothenia coriiceps (black rockcod), 442 nucleotides. RefSeq lists it as uncharacterized. The transcript is spliced from 2 exons. The record is from RefSeq and is a predicted model, not a curated record. NCBI's taxonomy places the organism in Eukaryota, Metazoa, Chordata, Actinopteri, Perciformes, Nototheniidae.